AUUAUAAGAACUAGAAAAGUAUAGGAAUUGGUCUAACGAGAAGGUAGAUAGAAUUCAAGAGCUUUAGCCAUGUCUAUGGCAUUACAAUGGGUUGUUACCUCCACCAGCUUAGAGGUCUCGAGCUCCAUGGGCUUUCUUCACUCUGUCCGAGAGGUGAGGCUCUUAGAUUCUUCCAAGUUUAUGUCCCGGGACUUUGGGUCAAUUCGAGCAAAGAGGGGUUUAAGAGUAUGAGUAAGAGAGAGAGGGGUUGAAGAUAAGGUAGGGUACUCUUUGAAUUCUUUGCCUUGAGUUUUUUACUCCGAAGGAUUAUAAGAACUAGAAAAGUAUAGGAAUUGGUCUAACAAGAAAGUAGAUAGAAUUCAAGAGCUUUAGCCAUGUCUAUAGCAUUACAAUGGGUUGUUACCUCCACCAGCUUAGAGGUCUCGAGCUCCAUGGGCUUUCUUCACUCUGUCCGAGAGGUGAGAGGUCUCGAGCUCCAUGGGCUUUCUUCACUCUGUCCGAGAGGUGAGGCUCUUAGAUUCUUCCAAGUUUAUGUCCCGGGACUUUGGGC
This 550-nucleotide long non-coding RNA is filed under the name Arachis ipaensis. Its description in RNAcentral is "long non-coding RNA (AIPA_LNC001578)". The record is from RNAcentral. Lineage: Eukaryota; Viridiplantae; Streptophyta; Magnoliopsida; Fabales; Fabaceae.